GAAGGAAACUGAUUAGUAAGCAUUGCACCCUCACUUAUGCACUGUGCAUGUGCAGACAUUGCACCACCGCUGAUUCAAGAAUGACAAACCAAGUCGUUUUUUUAUUUUGCUCACACUGGAUCCUACACCAGUGCUCCUUGUUUCAGAACGUUUUAAAAAUAACAGCAUAAAGACUAACCUCUUGUUCUUCCAUAUACUGGUUGUAUCGCUGCUCCAUCAUCUCCCUCUGCCAGCGUUCCUGCUCCAGGGUCUGCUGGAUGAGCUGGGCCACUUCGCUCUGCUCUCCCGGCUUCUCUCGACCGAUCACAAACCUGCAUUUUGAAAAUUAGCAGUCCAGCUUGGUUAGGAUGGAACAACUCUGACAAGGCGCUAAACCCAAAACAUGCAUGAACACUAGCUCAACAAGGACCAAGAAAGUGUUUUUCAUAUAUAAUAGACUACUUUAGUAGGUAUAGUAUUAAUGUUGUAAGGAAUGUGCUGUCUCUCUGAUAACAGAAAAUGGCUUCCUGUUUAGAGUUGAACAAAGGAAGUCUCUAUGGAGUUGGCCUUUGAUUAAAAUCAAACCCUCUAUUCUGCCUCUCCUUUAGCUCAUUGUACAGUUCAUUAUAGAGGCUAUAUGUUUUCUGGUUAAUGCUCACAAAUGUCUGUCCAAUUAAAUGCACUGUGUAAACUGUAAACAGGAAAAAAAAUACAGUAAAUCAUGAUGAACCCAGGCAGUCAUUAAGCCAGCUGCUGCAGCCUUUCAAUUUCUGCAUCACUAACGGAUAAUUAAAUGUUCACAAACACA
Molecule: long non-coding RNA, 787 nt
Organism: Micropterus dolomieu (smallmouth bass)
Lineage: Eukaryota; Metazoa; Chordata; Actinopteri; Centrarchiformes; Centrarchidae
Exons: 2
Source: RefSeq, a predicted model, not a curated record